AUUGAACGCUGGCGGCAUGCCUUACACAUGCAAGUCGAACGGCAGCGGACCUUCGGGUGCCGGCGAGUGGCGAACGGGUGAGUAAAGUAUCGGAACGUACCUUUCAGUGGGGGAUAACGUAGCGAAAGUUACGCUAAUACCGCAUAUUCUGUGAGCAGGAAAGCAGGGGAUCUUCGGACCUUGUGCUUCCGGAGCGGCCGAUGUCAGAUUAGCCAGUCGGUGGGGUAAAGGCCUACCAAGGCGACGAUCUGGAGCGGGUCUGAGAGGAUGAUCCGCCACACUGGAACGGAGACACGGUCCAGACUCCUACUGGAGGCAGCAGUGGGGAAUUUUGGACAAUGGGCGCAAGCCUGAUCCAGCCAUGCCGCGUGAGUGAAGAAGGCCUUCGGGUUGUAAAGCUCUUUCGGCCGGGAAGAAAUCGCGUGAGUUAAUACCUUGCGUGGAUGACGGUACCGGAAUAAGAAGCACCGGCUAACUACGUGCCAGCCGCCGCGGUAA
This 498-nucleotide ribosomal RNA is filed under the name uncultured bacterium. RNAcentral describes it as "partial 16S ribosomal RNA". It matches the Rfam family "Bacterial small subunit ribosomal RNA", at positions 30 to 523 of the family's 1533-position model. The record is from RNAcentral.